CACAGAGGAGAGAAGGCACAUGUCUCCAGGCCCCUUUCCAAGCUGGCUAGCCCUCUGGCUGGGUCUGCCCAGAUGCAAACAGCCAGGCCCAUCAGCGAGAGAUAGCAGCCUUUUCAUCGAUGGACUAGAGUGUAAGAUUUGUGGAUUGCCCGAGUCUUCCUUAGACUUCUUGGGUUGAGGGCUGAGGCCGCUGUAAGCCAAGGUACGCAACGCUUGCUAAACAGGAAUCCCUGGAAUGAAUCCAUGCAUGAGGCCUUUGUGCCAUGUGACAGUUGAAGGCUGUGGUGACCCCGGAACCGUCCCACUCCGAGACGCCUUAACACCGUUUUUCUGCUGUUACAAACCACAGAGCAACGCGUGUGCCUCCUCCCGCCCUGGGGACUCUUUCUGUGGGAGAGGUGCCUGGAUUUAGAGGAGCGACCACUCUUCAUUUGUAGGUACUCUCCCUAGCCUGGGAGCCCUUCAGCUCCCACUCCAGAGUGGUUGUUGGUGGUAAUACGCCAGGCCUGGGGAAGCAGGAGUGGGAAGGUGUGAGAGGUGGGGGAGUGUGGUUGUCAACUGUUCUGAUUUUCCACCAGGAUCUUGGUCACUUUCCCAGUUGUCACUCGGCCCACAAACUAGGAUGUGAGCAGCAUAUUAAGAAUCUGCAGAGAUGUUCCCGUCUGCCCGGCAUAUGGAUGUCCUUCUGGGCUGCAAAGUGGCAUCCUGUGGGCAACUCCCCCCACAACAACCAGCUGUGAGCUGUGCCCAGGCACAGAGGGACCUGGCUUUCCCUGUUUCUGCAGAUGGAGCCCAGGGUUUCAGGGAGGGAGGGGGCAGGCUGGGACCUGUUGGGGAUCUGGGCACUUUCUCAUGCUCCUUGAGCUGCAAGUCAUAGAAGGAGUGGGGUGGGAGCUGGGAAUGUACCUUCCCAAGGCCACUGGCAGAACCAGCAGGCCCUUUGCUCUGGGAUGAGCUCCCUCUGAGGGGUGGGGACAGUAAAGCGGACCGAAGUCCCUGUUCUGCGGGAUGGAAACUGGCUCCCCUCCAUUGUACAGGCCAGCUCUGGGGAUUUGGGCAGCAGAUUUGGGGUUGACAGCAGAAUGACAUGAUCACCAGUUGACCUUGGCCAGGAUGCCAGCUUACUUUCUCGCUUACUUCUGCAGGUUCUUUGUUCUGCGG
This 1161-nucleotide long non-coding RNA is filed under the name Homo sapiens (human). RNAcentral describes it as "HSALNT0363049". Lineage: Eukaryota; Metazoa; Chordata; Mammalia; Primates; Hominidae. The record is from RNAcentral.